UGCAUAGGUCAUCAAGCCUGGUUUAUUUAAGUUCACUGAGCAUUAUAUUCGCAAUAUAUAAGCAUAUUACAACAAUUUACGAUUAACUAAGAAUAAUAGUCGACUUUAUAGUUGUUAAUAUUGUAUAAUAAGACAGCCUUAAUGACGUAUCCAGCCUAGAAAUCCGCCCUACGGAGGCUGCAGCCUUCGGGUAGAUAGAGAAACAGCCUCCUGUAGGUGUGUUCGACUUCAUGCAGCGCUGCGCAGACCGUUUAGCGUAUGACGUCACGGUACCGCGAGAGCAUCGUUCCGUGUUCAGUCAGAUAGUCGCGCGUCUUGUGCCACAUCAAUUUCCGGUUUAUUGAUAAAUUCCCACACAUAAGCUGUGCAGGACACGCAGAGAAUCAGCAGUAGCACCAGCGCUGCAGCCAAAGCCAAUGCUGAACUUUACGAGUGAGAACUUCUGUUCUGUCAAAGGCUUUGAACGGAGCGCUCCUCUAAUGCUUUAUAUGGAAGAGGCUCACACUCUGGGAAAGUUUUUUGGGUCUGACUCCACCCCGAUGUAUGUCAUCAGUAACCGUGAGGUCAGUAGCAGAACAUAAAUGACGGAGAUGUUGAUGGUGGAUUUGUUUGAAAAGAGACGGAGACGCAGUGAUCAUCCAUGACGUCUGCUAACGGAUCAAGUUUCAAUCUCCAUCCCAGUCAAUGCCAAGGUCCCGUCAACAAUGCGUUAGUUUCCAGUCCUGUUAACCCUCUUGAUUAAUGUGCAUCCUCCACGUGACCACCCUGACCUGACAGACACAAUCAUUUCAUGACCAUGGCUGCGAGCUCUCCUAUACUUCCACACAGGACCCCACAAAUUGAGACAAGUGAGGGUCAUUUCCUAAAGGAGGGCCGUGGAAUGCUGAACAGUUUUCCCUCCCUCCGAUCAGGAUCUGGGAGGCGGAGAGGGGGUCGUGCACACUUAAAGACAAGUCUGGAAUGCGGUCUGAAGUUUCAAACUAACGCCCAAGUCGUCUUUAUCAUCCGGGGCUAAUAAAAGAGUGAGCACAGUUCGUGUCAGAUGAGCCUGGGCACCGGUCGGCUGUCACUCUCUCCUCUGCUGAGCAGGCAGCCACAGACGUCAGUGCUGUCGUACAGCUUUAUAUUACAUAGACCCCUGCUGCGUCUCUAUUUCAGGGGUACUCUCGCUCUUACCAAAGGCCGGUCCAUAAUCAGUACUGAAGUGCAUAUAGAGAAGGUGACUCAUUAUAGUGGGUACCAGCGGUUAAACAACCUCCAUUAAAUCAGCCGAGCGAGUCCCUAUGGGGGCUACCGGUGAAUUGUAAGAAGAUAAUGUGUGCAGCUUAAUGCACAUAUGGAGAAAUGUACAGUAUUCGGACGUGCAUAAAAGUCUUUGUGGCUUGCUGAUGUUUACAUGAUGUCAAAAAGCUUUUUGGUUCUCUGUCAUUUGUGUUUUGUGUGUGU
This is a long non-coding RNA of Misgurnus anguillicaudatus (oriental weatherfish), 1446 nucleotides long. RefSeq lists it as uncharacterized. Lineage: Eukaryota; Metazoa; Chordata; Actinopteri; Cypriniformes; Cobitidae. The record is from RefSeq and is a predicted model, not a curated record.